This 66-nucleotide ribosomal RNA is filed under the name Fusarium fujikuroi. Its description in RNAcentral is "partial 28S ribosomal RNA". The record is from RNAcentral. Lineage: Eukaryota; Fungi; Ascomycota; Sordariomycetes; Hypocreales; Nectriaceae.
AAUGUUGACCUCGGAUCAGGUAGGAAUACCCGCUGAACUUAAGCAUAUCAAAAUGGGGGAGAGGAA